Molecule: long non-coding RNA, 6798 nt
Filed under: Daphnia magna
Lineage: Eukaryota; Metazoa; Arthropoda; Branchiopoda; Diplostraca; Daphniidae
Description: uncharacterized LOC116921410, transcript variant X2
Source: RNAcentral
UCUUUCUCGCUCUACAGUCGCUACACCAUUCAACCAGUCGAACUUUGGACUUUGUUGGUGUAAGAUGUGCAACGGUUGGGUAGUUCAAUUGCUUUAUCUAUGUUACUUUAGUGAACUUACUUGACGUAAUUAAAGCCUGAGUGUUUACGGGUUUGUCAAAGUUUAGAAUUUCAGUCAUAACAUAAUUUUUCAGUGUUUCAUACUAUACGUCCGAUACAUUACAAUUGAUGUUAAACAUUAUGGACCUUGGUGGUAGUUAAUUAGAAUUGACAAAAUAAACAAGACCCGAUGUAAAAGAAUACUGUGGGAUUUGGACAUAAAACUGUUUUCAUGUGUUCGUCUCGUCACCCCAUCUAGCGGGUGCUCACAGAAGAAAGGUGAUCGAAAGCCUGGAAAAGUACCCGGUCGACGAGUCAACAUCGUCAGCAAAAGCGAGCCUGCAGGAACUCGUUCCAGCUUUCCUAGAACGUACUGCUUUAAGGAUCCAUCGCACAAUUCCAUAACAAGAAACCUGCCGCGGAGCAUGAACAAAUUACAUCCAAUAAACAUGAAAGUUACAGUAGUUAGUAUGAGAUAUUACUUUUUGCCAUCCUUUUCUACGACUUCUAGGUACUUGGUGACGAAUAAAUGGUUCAGCUGCGAAAGGGUACGGAUUUCACGUUCAAAUACUUUGCCUGCGUCGUCUACCCGGAAUGACGCUUUUUUGCAGGCGGCCAGAACUCGUAUUCCGUCUUUGUUGGGAUGGCGUCCAAGUUGGUGGAAACAUGCCAAAUGUAUUGCGAAAGUAAUUGAGGUGUUCUUUUGAACGCCUCAGUUAACGAAGUUUCCAUGUCUCUAUUUUCAGAAAAGAGCUAACAAAAGAAUUAAUAUGUUAAUAGAGCAAUCAGAAACAUCUAAACUUACAAUUCUCUCUAGAUCGCUGAAAUUUUCAUUUGGGAGCCGGCCAUUACCUAAAGAUUUCUUCCACGUUAAAAGGUUUCCUCUAAUUUUUAACCUUUGCACAAUUUCCUCGUUAGCCUGCUCUUUAAUUAGUCUUGGUAACGCAAAUUGGCAAUAACGGAUAAAAAAUGGAUGUCGCAGCAAUGUGCCGGCUUCAAAAUCAAAUUCCAGGUGGCGAGAGCUCCGUUUGGUCUGAUCUCCUUUUUAGUUGCAGCGGAAAUGUACAAGAAGCCGAGUUUGGAGAAAUCCGUCUUGACGUUAUUCUUUGGAAGAGUAUCCAGUUGCAAAAGGAAAAUAUUUACUUAACUUGAGACUUGAAAGAUAAUGCAUUUUCCUACCCCAGACUGGAGAAUGUUGUAUCCAUAGCCGGAUAACUUGGCAACAACCCGCCGGGGUUCAGAAUUGAUUGUUUUGAAGAGCACACUUUCCAGUUUCAAAUCUCCGUGCCCAAUUUUUUGGCGAUCAAGGUACUCAACAGCGCAGGUAAUUUGCCACAUAAUGUCGAUAACUUUUACGAUUGACGCAACUGCGCUGUCUAAUGUCCCCCGACAGUAGUCGAGCAUUGAUCCCUGACACAACUCCAUCGCAAGAAAAAGAAACCAAAGUUUUCAAUUACCUGCCAUCAUCUUGUAGCGUAAAACUGCGAUACUGGACCAGAUUAUCAUCACGAUUAAACGGAAUUAUUUUUAUAGCGGCUCUCUCACCUUUAUCCCAACCGGAAAUAAUUCGGUUGCUGUUGGCGCUGGUAAAAAAACUAGUCGAACGGCGGUUGAAUGGACUCGGAGGAGGUUGACUUUUUUUUCUGAAGAAUGCCAUCUUGAAUGAAGUUUACAUUAAAACUUGGAAUUGAACGCAGUCCGCUCGCCUUGAGGGACUGUAAGACAAUCGAAUUUUUGAACACUUCACAGCGUCUUAAAAGCCCCGGUGUGGACCUUUAUCUUUGGCAAACACGAUCAAUAGGUUAGGUUUUAUGAUGUAGCGUAAAUAAUACGACACCUACGUGUAUAUUUAUUUGUUUUUCAUUCGAAAAUAAGGUGGAAAGAUAAAGCAAAUUUGACGUAAGUUUUAUAUUUAAAAUUGGGAACCGUUUGUAAACUUUGCCUUGCUGAUAAAAGCUAAAGGUUUCACGAUCAUUUUGCGGGAAAAUUUCUACGCGAGUUACAUUUAUUUUCCAAGAAGCUGGAAACUGAAAAACCUACGUGCUACACAAACUGUCCCAAAUUGACGGAUUUGAUUGUUAUUGGUUUAGUGAACGGCACUACCGAUCGAGAUGUCAGCGUCUGUAACGUAUCGAAUUAUUGUAUAGAUGUUUUCAUGCAGUUGUUGAUUUAGUCGUAUGUUGACUCCAUCGCGAAGACGUUUGAUCCGUGCUUGUAUAAGCAACAAGUAAGAAAACCAUGGAAACGGCUGGAUGGGGUGUUCGGGAGAAGGCGGAGAUAAUGGCGCAUCGGGAGGUGGCGGGAAUUGGGAAUGCGAAGAGAUAACAAGUCUGUUUUUAUUAGCUGUCACACUUUGUUGGUUUAGAGUAUUGUGAUAUUAUAGCCAAGGUGUUACUGUUUUGCACUGUAACGUCAUUACUCCGGCUUUGAUUCCUGCCAACUAAAUUUUUUAUUUAAUUCAGUCGAGUUGAGACCCAAUUGUUUUUCGAUGGCGAGGAAGUAAUGGGCAUUCUGGACUCAAUUCAGAUUUCAUACAAUAUGGUUAGGAGAACUAUGGAAAACGGAAUUGUUAUAUAUUUUCGAACAACGGAAGCAAAUAAAUCAGAAAUGUUUUUGUUUUAUUAGGUUUAGCAUUACGUUUAUUCGAAGAAGAAAGUUAUAUAUCAAUAAAUCUCCAGCUUUUUAGCAGAACUAGGAAAAGGUUUAAUCUCUUCAUUUCUGAUUGCUUUGUACAAGGGCGUUCGCUGUUGAGCAUAAAUGGCAUUCACGUCAGCUCCAAAUUCGAGUAACAUUCUUGUGAGUUGAGGUCUGAAAUCCCGAAUUCGCAAGCGCCAAAUGCAAUGGCGUGAUUCUAUAAUUGUCCACCUGUUUAAUCGCCUCGAGCGAUUGCCUUUAUUGUUUCGACAGUUCCAAGAAACAGCGAGGUUUACAGAAAAAGAACUUGUCAACUGGGGGAAGAGUGAAAAAAAAUCAAAAUGGCCGCUUUCUUUCUCGCUCUACAGUCGCUACACCAUUCAACCAGUCGAACUUUGGACUUUGUUGGUGUAAGAUGUGCAACGGUUGGGUAGUUCAAUUGCUUUAUCUAUGUUACUUUAGUGAACUUACUUGACGUAAUUAAAGCCUGAGUGUUUACGGGUUUGUCAAAGUUUAGAAUUUCAGUCAUAACAUAAUUUUUCAGUGUUUCAUACUAUACGUCCGAUACAUUACAAUUGAUGUUAAACAUUAUGGACCUUGGUGGUAGUUAAUUAGAAUUGACAAAAUAAACAAGACCCGAUGUAAAAGAAUACUGUGGGAUUUGGACAUAAAACUGUUUUCAUGUGUUCGUCUCGUCACCCCAUCUAGCGGGUGCUCACAGAAGAAAGGUGAUCGAAAGCCUGGAAAAGUACCCGGUCGACGAGUCAACAUCGUCAGCAAAAGCGAGCCUGCAGGAACUCGUUCCAGCUUUCCUAGAACGUACUGCUUUAAGGAUCCAUCGCACAAUUCCAUAACAAGAAACCUGCCGCGGAGCAUGAACAAAUUACAUCCAAUAAACAUGAAAGUUACAGUAGUUAGUAUGAGAUAUUACUUUUUGCCAUCCUUUUCUACGACUUCUAGGUACUUGGUGACGAAUAAAUGGUUCAGCUGCGAAAGGGUACGGAUUUCACGUUCAAAUACUUUGCCUGCGUCGUCUACCCGGAAUGACGCUUUUUUGCAGGCGGCCAGAACUCGUAUUCCGUCUUUGUUGGGAUGGCGUCCAAGUUGGUGGAAACAUGCCAAAUGUAUUGCGAAAGUAAUUGAGGUGUUCUUUUGAACGCCUCAGUUAACGAAGUUUCCAUGUCUCUAUUUUCAGAAAAGAGCUAACAAAAGAAUUAAUAUGUUAAUAGAGCAAUCAGAAACAUCUAAACUUACAAUUCUCUCUAGAUCGCUGAAAUUUUCAUUUGGGAGCCGGCCAUUACCUAAAGAUUUCUUCCACGUUAAAAGGUUUCCUCUAAUUUUUAACCUUUGCACAAUUUCCUCGUUAGCCUGCUCUUUAAUUAGUCUUGGUAACGCAAAUUGGCAAUAACGGAUAAAAAAUGGAUGUCGCAGCAAUGUGCCGGCUUCAAAAUCAAAUUCCAGGUGGCGAGAGCUCCGUUUGGUCUGAUCUCCUUUUUAGUUGCAGCGGAAAUGUACAAGAAGCCGAGUUUGGAGAAAUCCGUCUUGACGUUAUUCUUUGGAAGAGUAUCCAGUUGCAAAAGGAAAAUAUUUACUUAACUUGAGACUUGAAAGAUAAUGCAUUUUCCUACCCCAGACUGGAGAAUGUUGUAUCCAUAGCCGGAUAACUUGGCAACAACCCGCCGGGGUUCAGAAUUGAUUGUUUUGAAGAGCACACUUUCCAGUUUCAAAUCUCCGUGCCCAAUUUUUUGGCGAUCAAGGUACUCAACAGCGCAGGUAAUUUGCCACAUAAUGUCGAUAACUUUUACGAUUGACGCAACUGCGCUGUCUAAUGUCCCCCGACAGUAGUCGAGCAUUGAUCCCUGACACAACUCCAUCGCAAGAAAAAGAAACCAAAGUUUUCAAUUACCUGCCAUCAUCUUGUAGCGUAAAACUGCGAUACUGGACCAGAUUAUCAUCACGUAACUUGAUUAGAUUUUCCCAAUAGCGCUCGAUUUGUUCAUCCCCAAUCUCGCCCGGUUUAAACGGAAUUAUUUUUAAAGCGACUCUCUCACCUUUAUCCCAACCGAGAAUAAUUCGGUUGCUGUUGGCGCUGGCCAGAACACCAGCCGGAGGGCGGUUGAAUGUACUCCAAGGAGGAUAAUUUCUGAAUGCCAUCUUGAAUGAAGUUUACAUUAAAACUUGGAAUUGAACGCAGUCCGCUUGGGUUGAGCGACUGUAACACAAUCGAAUUUUUGGACACUUCACAGCGUCUUAAAAGCCCCGGUUUGGACCUUUAUCUUUAGCAAACACGAUCAAUAGGCUAGGUUUUAUUAUGUAGCGUAAAUAAUACGACACCUACGUGUAUAUUUAUUUGUUUUUCGUUCGAAAAUAAGGUGGAAAGAUAAAGCAAAUUUGACGUCAGUUUUAUAUUUAAAAUUUGAAAUCGUUUGUAAACUUUGCCUUGCUGAUAAAAGCUAAAGGUUUCACGAUCAUUUUGCGAGAUAAUUUCUACGCGUGUCACUUUCGUUUUCCAAAGAGCUGGAAACUGGAGAUCUUGACAUCCUAUUUUAUUCCAACAAUGUCCGGCUUUUGAUUUUUGACCUACCUUUAAUCGUUCUCCAUUUUUUAUUGCAUUUUCAGAAUAGUAAUUAAUAGCUUUGUAGGAAACCAAGCUCUGAAUUCAUUUGAUCUUUUUUAUGUAAUACCUUGAUCUAUCACGGGGAUUUAGCGUAACUAUCAGUAACAAAGCUUGGUGUUUCGACAUUUUGUUUCUUAUUUUCAAAAUGGGUUUCAAAAUGUAAAGUGAAUUGUGGACGAUUAGCACGUGUGAUAAACCAUCGAGCAGACGAAGGUCAAAAGCGGGUCAAAAGGAGGUUUUUUUUUUUUUUUUAUGAGAUGGAAAUAGGAAAAUGUAUUUUAAAUAUUAUGAACCAUGUUAAAAACUUGUCAACCCAUCGAUAGAAACGGUGAUUAUUUAAUUCUCUAUUGAACUGGUGAUUGGAUUUUUCGUCGACGUGGAGCUCAGCCCGAUGGCCCGUAACGUGAAACUCGUUUUGUAAAGAGAUCCGUCCGUCUCGACGUCCAAUUGUAGUGUAUUGCUGUUGGCAGCGUUCAUUCGGCUCCGGACACUUGCGAGCGCCAUCCAGCGGAAUAAAAGAAUCCUGGGCUUCGCUCAUCAUUGCCGGCCAAUUACCCGAUCCGAACUGAAUUGAAGAUUUUAUCUGGCGGACGCUAUUCAUAUUGGGCCCCGCUUGAAAAUAUUUCAUUCCGGCUGGUCAGUGUGUUGACUCGUUCCACGAACUCCGGCUGCUGGUCGGGAUGCCCCAUUACUACCCCAAGAUGAAUCGUUACUCUGCAACUGACCAACGGGUUUGGCGAUGAUCGGUCGCUGGAGUCUGAUGUUCCGGAUGAUCCGCUGUGACUGCAGAUUCCGCAGUAAAAUCUCAUCCAAUGACAGCCAGCGAGAUCUGCUGGCCGCACUUCGCUGCAUGGACGUCAAACUGGAACGGCUAUUGUACUGCGAAGCCAGCAUCGUUAGCAAGGUCACUGAAAUUUUCAUUUGGGAGCUGGCCGUCACCCAAAGAUUUCCUCCAUUUUUCCAAGUUGUGGUUAUUGUUCAAUCCACUUCUAAUAUCCUCAUUCGUCUGCUCUUUGAUUAGCCUUGCUAACGCAAAUUGGCAGUAACGAAUAAAAAACGGGUGGCGCAGUAAUGUGCCAGCUGCAAAAUCAAAUUCCAAGUGGCGAGAGCUCCGCUUGGUCUGAUCUCCUUUUUAGUUGCAGCGGAAAUGUACAAGAAGCCGAGUUUGGAGAAAUCAGUCUUGACGUUAUUCUUUGGAAGAUUAUCCAGUUGCAAAAGGAAAAUAUUUACUUAACUUGAGACUUGAAAGAUAAUGCAUUUUCCUACCCCAGACUGGAGAAUGUUGUAUCCAUAGCCGGAUAACUUGGCAACAACCCGCCGGGGUUCAGAAUCGAUUGUUUUGAAGAGCACACUUUCCAGUUUCAAAUCUCCGUGCCCAAUUUUUUGGCGAUCAAGGUACUCAACAGCGCAGUAGUCGAGCAUUGAUCCCUGACACAACUCCAUCGCAAG